CUUUCUUUCUUUCUUUCUUUCUUUUUUAAUGUAUAUUUACUUGAGAGAGCACGCAAGCAGGAGAAGGACAGAGAGAGAGGGAGAGAGACAAUCCCAAGCAGGCUCCGUGCUGUCAGCCCAGCACCCCAGGGAACACUUACUUCUUAAUCCUCAUGUUUUCAUAUGAAGUAUUUCCACAAUUAGAGUUGCUCUCUUAUCAUCCCUCUAUUCCUUUCUCAGAAUGGCAAGUUGGAAAAAAGGAACUAAGGAAUGGUUGGCACUUGCUGUUUCUCUCUUAAGGAGUUCUCUACUUGCCAAGUGUACCUGCUUUGGACUUCUCAUGCCUAGGCUCCCCUGGCCAUGACCCAGAGCAGGGAGCCCACCACUGUAGAUGCUCCCUCCCCAACUCCAGCUUCCCCUCACAUUGACCAGCAUUUGCAAGGUGGGAAGAAUUUCAUUGGAACUUAUUCAUCAUCGACUAGCACCACCCCAAGAGCAUCUUCCAUGUUUAGGUCUAAAGAAAAUGAAAAAAUGACAGAAGGGAGGAGAAGGAAAUUACUCUGUUUUUGAGCUGUGCUGCUGGCCAGGCCCUACAUGAAUGAGGCACCCGGCCCACAAUGUGUAAGUAAUGUAGUCGGGGACAGGCGUCGGUCCUGCUCAGCGCUGGGCAGCGAGGAGGAGGCUGGGAAUGUCCCCAUGGCUCACGUUCAUGAGAGCUGCAAAUUUUGACUUUUGAUCUUCAAAGUAACUUGAAUACGUAGUCACUGUGUUUGUGUUUCCCAACUACAAAUCGUUAAAUGUAAACAUUGAAGUAUACCAUGGUUUUUAAUCCAUGUUCUGACCAUGCUUGCUUUUUAAUAUACUCAGAGUAUCCAAAGAAAAACAAAGACACAAAGAAAAAAAAACAACAAAAAAGGAACUGGCCUGGGCCUCACUCAACCUCUGAGGCCCUGCUCGAAGCAAAUGGAGCUGACUUUCUCUGUAAAUAGAGUUCACUAACAUUUUCUUCUUUUUAUAUCUGCCACCUCCUCCUGCUGCUUGUCAUUUUGUCGUCGUUUUCCUAGGGCUGCUGGACUCUUCCAAAAUAAGUAACAGGAAAACAUAUGAAGUGACCAGUGAGGACGUGUUAUAGGAAAAAAAAAAAAAAAGGAAAAGAAAUAAACAAAACCUACUUUGGGAAAACCGAGCA
This 1168-nucleotide long non-coding RNA is filed under the name Felis catus (domestic cat). RNAcentral's name for it is "lncRNA (ENSFCAG00000040338.2)". Lineage: Eukaryota; Metazoa; Chordata; Mammalia; Carnivora; Felidae. The record is from RNAcentral.